UCGAGCGAAUGACGAGGAGCUUGCUCCUCUGAUUUAGCGGCGGACGGGUGAGUAACACGUGGGUAACCUGCCUGUAAGACGGGGAUAACUCCGGGAAACCGGAGCUAAUACCGGAUGAUAACGAGAAGCGCCUGCUUCUUUUUUGAAAGUCGGUUUCGGCUGACGCUUACAGAUGGGCCCGCGGCGCAUUAGCUAGUUGGUGAGGUAACGGCUCACCAAGGCGACGAUGCGUAGCCGACCUGAGAGGGUGAUCGGCCACACUGGGACUGAGACACGGCCCAGACUCCUACGGGAGGCAGCAGUAGGGAAUCUUCGGCAAUGGACGAAAGUCUGACCGAGCAACGCCGCGUGAGCGAUGAAGGCCUUCGGGUCGUAAAGCUCUGUUGUCAGAGAAGAACAAGUACCGGAGUAACUGCCGGUACCUUGACGGUACCUGACCAGAAAGCCACGGCUAACUACGUGCCAGCAGCCGCGGUAAUACGUAGGUGGCAAGCGUUAUCCGGAAUUAUUGGGCGUAAAGCGCGCGCAGGCGGUCUUUUAAGUCUGAUGUGAAAGCCCACGGCUCAACCGUGGAGGGUCAUUGGAAACUGGAGGACUUGAGUGCAGGAGAGAAAAGUGGAAUUCCACGUGUAGCGGUGAAAUGCGUAGAGAUGUGGAGGAACACCAGUGGCGAAGGCGGCUUUUUGGCCUGUAACUGACGCUGAGGCGCGAAAGCGUGGGGAGCAAACAGGAUUA
Molecule: ribosomal RNA, 735 nt
Filed under: Bacillus sp. CUA-599
Lineage: Bacteria; Bacillati; Bacillota; Bacilli; Caryophanales; Bacillaceae
Description: bacterial SSU rRNA
Rfam family: Bacterial small subunit ribosomal RNA
Source: RNAcentral